GACGAACGCUGGCGGCGUGCUUAACACAUGCAAGUCGAACGGAGUACCCUCGAAAGAGAUUUCGGACAAUGGAGAGGACUACUUAGUGGCGGACGGGUGAGUAACGCGUGAAGAACCUGCCUUUCAGAGGGGGACAACAGUUGGAAACGACUGCUAAUACCGCAUAACGUACGGGUAUCGCAUGGUACUGGGACCAAAGAUUUAUCGCUGAGAGAUGGCCUCGCGUCUGAUUAGCUAGUUGGUAGGGUAACGGCCUACCAAGGCGACGAUCAGUAGCCGGACUGAGAGGUUGGCCGGCCACAUUGGGACUGAGAUACGGCCCAGACUCCUACGGGAGGCAGCAGUGGGGAAUAUUGGGCAAUGGGCGCAAGCCUGACCCAGCAACGCCGCGUGAAGGAAGAAGGCUUUCGGGUUGUAAACUUCUUUUGACAGGGAAGAGCAUAACACGGUACCUGUCGAAUAAGCCACGGCUAACUACGUGCCAGCAGCCGCGGUAAUACGUAGGUGGCAAGCGUUGUCCAGAUUUACUGGGUGUAAAGGGCGUGUAGCCGGGCUGACAAGUCAAAUGUGAAAUCCGGGGGCUCAACCCCCGAACUGCAUUUGAAACUGUUGGUCUUGAGUAUCAGAGAGGCAGGCGGAAUUCCUAGUGUAGCGGUGAAAUGCGUAGAUAUUAGGAGGAACACCAGUGGCGAAGGCGGCCUGCUGGACGACAACUGACGGUGAGGCGCGAAAGCGUGGGGAGCAAACAGGAUUAGAUACCCUGGUAGUCCACGCUGUAAACGAUGGAUACUAGGUGUGCGGGGACUGACCCCCUGCGUGCCGCAGCUAACGCAAUAAGUAUCCCACCUGGGGAGUACGAUCGCAAGGUUGAAACUCAAAGGAAUUGACGGGGGCCCGCACAAGCGGUGGAUUAUGUGGUUUAAUUCGAUGCAACGCGAAGAACCUUACCAGGGCUUGACAUCCUACUAACGAAGUAGAGAUACAUUAUGUACCCUUCGGGGGAAGUAGAGACAGGUGGUGCAUGGUUGUCGUCAGCUGGUGUCGUGAGAUGUUGGGUUAAGUCCCGCAACGAGCGCAACCCUUAUUGUUAGUUGUUACGCAAGAGCAUUCUAGCGAGACUGCCGUUGACAAAACGGAGGAAGGUGGGACGACGUCAAAUCAUCAUGCCCCUUAUGUCCUGGGCUACACACGUAAUACAAUGGCGGUCAACAGAGGGAUGCAAAACCGUGAGGUGGAGCGAACCCAUAAAAGCCGUCCCAGUUCAGAUCGCAGUCUGCAACCCGACUGCGUGAAGUCGGAAUCGCUAGUAAUCGCGGAUCAGCAUGCCGCGGUGAAUACGUUCCCGGGCCU
RNAcentral lists this ribosomal RNA (1350 nucleotides) under uncultured bacterium. Its description in RNAcentral is "bacterial SSU rRNA". It matches the Rfam family "Bacterial small subunit ribosomal RNA", at positions 28 to 1381 of the family's 1533-position model. The record is from RNAcentral.